This 425-nucleotide ribosomal RNA is filed under the name uncultured bacterium. RNAcentral's name for it is "partial 16S ribosomal RNA". It matches the Rfam family "Bacterial small subunit ribosomal RNA", at positions 354 to 796 of the family's 1533-position model. The record is from RNAcentral.
GUGGGGAAUCUUGCGCAAUGGGCGAAAGCCUGACGCAGCCAUGCCGCGUGAAUGAUGAAGGUCUUAGGAUUGUAAAAUUCUUUCACCGGGGACGAUAAUGACGGUACCCGGAGAAGAAGCUCCGGCUAACUUCGUGCCAGCAGCCGCGGUAAUACGAAGGGGGCUAGCGUUGCUCGGAAUUACUGGGCGUAAAGGGCGCGUAGGCGGACAGCUUAGUCAGAGGUGAAAGCCCAGGGCUCAACCUUGGAAUUGCCUUUGAUACUGGCUGUCUUGAGUUUGGGAGAGGUGAGUGGAACUCCGAGUGUAGAGGUAAAAUUCGUAGAUAUUCGGAAGAACACCAGUGGCGAAGGCGACUCACUGGCCCAAUACUGACGCUGAGGCGCGAAAGCGUGGGGAGCAAACAGGAUUAGAAACCCCUGUAGUCC